Molecule: ribosomal RNA, 404 nt
Filed under: bacterium
Lineage: Bacteria
Description: partial 16S ribosomal RNA
Rfam family: Bacterial small subunit ribosomal RNA
Source: RNAcentral
UUGGGAAUCUUGCGCACUGGGCGAAAGCCUGACGCAGCCAUGCCGCGUGCAUGAUGAAGGUCUUAGGAUUGUAAAAUUCUUUCACCGGGGACGAUAAUGACGGUACCCGGAGAAGACGCCCCGGCUAACUUCGUGCCAGCAGCCGCGGUAAUACGAAGGGUGCUAGCGUUGCUCGGAAUUACUGGGCGUAAAGGGCGAGUAGGCGGAUCGUUAAGUCAGAGUUGAAAUCCCAGGGCUCAACCCUGGAACUGCCUUUGAUACUGGCGAUCUGGAGUAUGAGAGAGGUAUGUAGAAGUCCGAGUGUAGAGGUGAAAUUCGUAGAUAUUCGGAAGAACGCCAGUGGCGAAGGCGACAUACUGGCUCAUUACUGACGCUGAGGCGCGAAAGCGUGGGGAGCAAACAGG